RNAcentral lists this ribosomal RNA (372 nucleotides) under uncultured organism. Its description in RNAcentral is "bacterial SSU rRNA". It matches the Rfam family "Bacterial small subunit ribosomal RNA", at positions 526 to 896 of the family's 1533-position model. The record is from RNAcentral.
CGUAGGGUGCGAGCGUUAAUCGGAAUUACUGGGCGUAAAGCGUGCGCAGGCGGUUUAGUAAGACAGGCGUGAAAUCCCCGGGCUCAACCUGGGAACUGCGCUUGUGACUGCUAAGCUAGAGUACGGCAGAGGGGGGUGGAAUUCCACGUGUAGCAGUGAAAUGCGUAGAGAUGUGGAGGAACACCAAUGGCGAAGGCAGCCCCCUGGGUCGAUACUGACGCUCAUGCACGAAAGCGUGGGUAGCAAACAGGAUUAGAUACCCUGGUAGUCCACGCCCUAAACGAUGUCAACUAGGUGUUGGGAGGGUAAAACCUUUUAGUACCGGAGCUAACGCGUGAAGUUGUCCGCCUGGGGAGUACGGCCGCAAGGUUA